RNAcentral lists this ribosomal RNA (429 nucleotides) under Bacteroidota bacterium. Its description in RNAcentral is "Bacteroidetes bacterium partial 16S ribosomal RNA". It matches the Rfam family "Bacterial small subunit ribosomal RNA", at positions 355 to 776 of the family's 1533-position model. Lineage: Bacteria; Pseudomonadati; Bacteroidota. The record is from RNAcentral.
UAGGGAAUCUUCGGCAAUGGGGGGAACCCUGACCGAGCAACGCCGCGUGAGUGAAGAAGGUUUUCGGAUCGUAAAGCUCUGUUGUUAAGGAAGAACGAGUGUGAGAAUGGAAAGUUCAUACUGUGACGGUACUUAACCAGAAAGGGACGGCUAACUACGUGCCAGCAGCCGCGGUAAUACGUAGGUCCCGAGCGUUGUCCGGAUUUAUUGGGCGUAAAGCGAGCGCAGGCGGUUAGAUAAGUCUGAAGUUAAAGGCAGUGGCUCAACCAUUGUAGGCUUUGGAAACUGGUUAACUUGAGUGCAGAAGGGGAGAGUGGAAUUCCAUGUGUAGCGGUGAAAUGCGUAGAUAUAUGGAGGAACACCGGUGGCGAAAGCGGCUCGCUGGGCUGUAACUGACGCGGAGGCUCGAAAGCGUGGGGAGCGAACAGG